UACGUAGGGUGCGAGCGUUGUCCGGAAUUAUUGGGCGUAAAGAGCUUGUAGGCGGUUUGUCGCGUCUGCUGUGAAAAUCCGGGGCUCAACCCCGGACUUGCAGUGGGUACGGGCAGACUAGAGUGUGGUAGGGGAGACUGGAAUUCCUGGUGUAGCGGUGAAAUGCGCAGAUAUCUGGAGGAACACCGGUGGCGAAGGCGGCAUUCUGGACCGAUAUUGACGCUGAGGAGCGAAAGCCAGGGGAGCAAACGGG
This 253-nucleotide ribosomal RNA is filed under the name uncultured bacterium. RNAcentral describes it as "partial 16S ribosomal RNA". It matches the Rfam family "Bacterial small subunit ribosomal RNA", at positions 524 to 776 of the family's 1533-position model. The record is from RNAcentral.